GUACAUAUAAUUAAAAUCUCCUACUAAAAAUGUAGACAUUGUUUGGUAAACGAUGGCAACAGAAGAACAAGAAGAAGAGGAGGCUAUUGUUGCAUUUCAUCAAAUUUUAUUUGAUAUAAGAUUGUUCCUUUUGUUUUUCAUCCGUCUUUAUUAUGGGCGUAAGCGUCGUUGUUUGAAUUAUUCAGAUCGCCCCCCAUCUUGUUACAGUUUAAUAGUUAGAUAAUCUAAGCAAAUUGAAUAUAUGGCAACUCUAGUUGGGGAAAAUGAUAUCAAAUGUCGAGAUAACCUUCGAAUGAAUAGGGACACUUUUGGACGUUUGUGUUAUCUUUUAGAAAAUCUAGGUGGUCUAACUGCAACUAGAAACGUCCAAGUAGGAGAACAAGUGGCUAUAUUUCUUAAGAUUUUGGGUCAUCAUACAAAAAACGUGUAGCUAGCACAGACUUUAAAAGAUCGGGGUACACCAUAAGUAAGCAUUUAAAUCGUGUAUUACUCGCAUUGCUUAGGUUACACACUAUACUUUUGACUACUCCUAAACCUGUGGAUGAUGACUUGGAUAACGAACGGUGGGUUACUUUAAGGGAUCCCUUGGUGCAUUAGAUGGCACUCACAUUGAAGUGAGAGAACCUCGUGUUGAUAAAGCAAGAUAUAGGAACCGCAAAGGUGAAGUGUCUGUUAAUGUGCUUGCAGUGUGUGAUGUUAAUAUGAAUUUCAUUUAUCUUUUGACUGAUUGGGAAGGGUCUGCAGCUGAUAGUAGAAUCCUUCGGGAUGCGAUUAGUACCUAACGGGUUUAAGGUUCCUACGGGUAUGUGUCGUUAUUUUAUAUAGAAGUUCUUUUGUACUAUGUACAGUGAAAGUAAUUUUGAAAACCUCAUUACUCGCGAUUACAGGUAAUUAUUAUUUGGUUGAUGGAGGUUACACAAACGCGAAUGGUUUUCUUGCACCCUACAGAAAAACUAGAUAUCAUCUUAAAGCAUAUGGUCCUGGCCGUGCUGCCCCUCGAAACUUUAGAGAAUAUUUAAACAUAAAACAUGCGAAGGCACGUAAUAUCAUUGAGAGGGCGUUUGGAGUAUUGAAGUUGAGAUGGGGUAUACUGAGAAGUCCUGCUUAUUACCCAAUCAAAGUCCUAAAUCGAAUUAUUAUGGCUUGUUGUCUCUUGCACAAUUUUAUACGUACAACAAAUGAUGUCGAUCAUGAAGAGGCAAAUGUCCCUGAAUUUAUUGUGAAUGACGACAGCGAUGAAGAUACUGACGACGAGGAAAAUGAUGAAGUGCUUAUAGAAAACGUUGAACCAUCACAACAAUGGACUUCAUGGCGGGACAAUAUUGCCAUGUCCAUGUAUAAUGAAUAUCUUGCCAAUCGUUGAAACUCUCAGAUGUCCUUUGAGCAAUUGUUUUUUUCCAGUCUUCUGUUGUAUUGUUUUGAACUUAUUAUCAUCUUAUGUAAUUUGCUAUUUUGUUU
Molecule: non-coding RNA, 1458 nt
Organism: Erythranthe guttata (spotted monkey flower)
Lineage: Eukaryota; Viridiplantae; Streptophyta; Magnoliopsida; Lamiales; Phrymaceae
Source: RefSeq, a predicted model, not a curated record